Molecule: antisense RNA, 75 nt
Filed under: Actinoalloteichus hoggarensis
Lineage: Bacteria; Bacillati; Actinomycetota; Actinomycetes; Pseudonocardiales; Pseudonocardiaceae
Description: ASpks TB sRNA
Rfam family: ASpks TB sRNA
Source: Rfam by way of RNAcentral
CUUCAGCGUGCCCAGCCACAGCGGCUGCUCCGGGCUCCGAUCGCGGCCGUAGACCGACAACAGGGCCUGGGCCUC